CUCCUGUAUCACUAGCUUGAAUAACACUGGGGCUGUGAGUUUGAUAUCCUACACAUGGUCAACAAAACAAGAUGGCAAAACACAGAGUUUAAAUGUUUCCUUCUAAUGUCUCAGAAUAGUUGCAAUUAUAAGGUGACCUUUUGUAACUGUAACAAGGUGAGCUAAAAAUAGAUGGAACGAAAAGACAAUAUAGUAUAAUCAACU
This 204-nucleotide long non-coding RNA is filed under the name Mytilus galloprovincialis (Mediterranean mussel). Lineage: Eukaryota; Metazoa; Mollusca; Bivalvia; Mytilida; Mytilidae. The record is from RNAcentral.